CUGCGGCCUGAAGAUGCCUGAGGCCCGGACUCUCAGACCCCUAUUGCCCUUUGGUGCUGGAGGCCCAGCGGCAGCCUGAAGCCCAAGAGAGUGGAGCCUCGCGAAAUGAGGAACCUGGCACAAGGUUUGCUUGGAAGCAGGAACGACGGAGUGUGGCUACGUGCCCUAUUUGCCAUUAACGCUUUCUUGCAUGGCAGUGAGAGAUGAGGGCAAGGGAGGUGGCAUAAUGCUCCCGGCCGCUUGGGACUCGGAGAGACGGCAUUUAAUAAAUCACACGCGGUAUUUGCGAAACAGUGGUCGAGAUUCGUCUUCCCGGGUUCAUUGCGUCAUUAAUAGGCGGGAACAGUGCCCCUGUGUUGAGGCUGCAGAGGCCCUAAUUGGUUUUCCCAAGACAGAGGGGCAUAUGAGAUUGAACAAAUAUUUGUUGAAUGAAUGAACAAAGGGAACGCCUUUUAGGGAUGUUUCUGGGGGAAAGGCCUGAGGUUCUCCAGGAGGGUCUGCAGCUAGGGUCGGCCGUGGGGGCUCGCAGCCCGCGGGACCACCGGACCUGCAAGCGUCCCCCUGCCCCGCCCCCGCCUCGGCGCUCUGAGCAAUUGGACUCUGCCAGCUCUAACUCCGGCGGGACUCUGAAACUCAGGCAAGAGCCGAGGUGUUCUGGACUUGGAAGAUUUGUUGAAUUACUAUGAAGUCACAUCUAAAGUUUGAAAGAGAUCGGGUCUCACUAUUUUGCCCACGCUGGUCUUGAACUCCUGUCCUCAAGCAGGAUAUCCUCCUGCCUUGGCCUCCCAAAGUUCUGGGAUUACAGGUAUGAGCCACUACACUCAGCCUUAUUAAUAUAAAUCUAAUAAUAUUAUGUCUCUGUGUUAGCAAUGGUAUGAAACCCCCCAAAUGGUGUUAGAUCCAGAGUCAUUUGUCUCUGACAUUUCUUAGGAAAUGUUUUUCCUUUCUAUCGAUGAAUGGGUUCCUACGGAUAGCUUGUUCAUUCUCUCUUUAAUUUUGGUUAAAGCAUUUCCGAAAGUGGGAGGAUACGUCUCCUUUCUUUAACUUCUGGUGGAAGGGUGUGGAAUUUAUCAAAAAUAUGAGGGAAGACUGCAUAAAUGUAGGGGCAGAGUAUUUAUAUUAACAUUACCUUGUUUUCUUCUGUGGGAUAUUUAGGAACUAUUUUUUUUUCUGGAAGUAGUGAUGGCAUCAAGGCUUAAAGUAGGAAAGAAGUAAAGAGAAUAAUUGUGUAGUUAUUAUGUGAAUGUUUAAUUGAAUGCUCCCUAUUUUUAAUUAAGAUGUUUAAAUUAAAUGAAUUUUUUUUUUUAAACGUAGUCUCGCUCUGUCGCCAGGCU
This 1334-nucleotide long non-coding RNA is filed under the name Homo sapiens (human). RNAcentral's name for it is "HSALNT0295643". The record is from RNAcentral. Lineage: Eukaryota; Metazoa; Chordata; Mammalia; Primates; Hominidae.